UACGUAGGGGGCAAGCGUUAUCCGGAUUUACUGGGUGUAAAGGGAGCGCAGACGGCAGUGCAAGUCUGAAGUGAAAGCCCGCGGCCCAACUGCGGGACUGCUUUGGAAACUGCCCGGCUAGAGUGCUGGAGAGGUAAGCGGAAUUCCUAGUGUAGCGGUGAAAUGCGUAGAUAUUAGGAGGAACACCAGUGGCGAAGGCGGCUUACUGGACAGUAACUGACGUUGAGGCUCGAAAGCGUGGGGAGCAAACAGG
RNAcentral lists this ribosomal RNA (253 nucleotides) under uncultured bacterium. RNAcentral describes it as "partial 16S ribosomal RNA". It matches the Rfam family "Bacterial small subunit ribosomal RNA", at positions 524 to 776 of the family's 1533-position model. The record is from RNAcentral.